GACGAACGCUGGCGGCGUGCUUAACACAUGCAAGUCGAACGGAAAGGCCCUGCUUUUGUGGGGUGCUCGAGUGGCGAACGGGUGAGUAACACGUGAGUAACCUGCCCUUGACUUUGGGAUAACUUCAGGAAACUGGGGCUAAUACCGGAUAGGAGCUCCUGCUGCAUGGUGGGGGUUGGAAAGUUUCGGCGGGUGGGGAUGGACUGGCGGCUUAUCAGCUUGUUGGUGGGGUAGGGGCUUACCAAGGCUUUGACGGGUAGCCGGCCGGAGAGGGUGACCGGCCACCUUGGGACUGAGAUACGGCCCAGACUCCUACGGGAGGCAGCAGUGGGGAAUAUUGCACAAUGGGCGGAAGCCUGAUGCAGCAACGCCGCGUGCGGGAUGACGGCCUUCGGGUUGUAAACCGCUUUCGCCUGUGACGAAGCGUGAGUGACGGUAAUGGGUAAAGAAGCACCGGCUAACUACGUG
Molecule: ribosomal RNA, 468 nt
Filed under: uncultured bacterium
Lineage: Bacteria
Description: partial 16S ribosomal RNA
Rfam family: Bacterial small subunit ribosomal RNA
Source: RNAcentral